RNAcentral lists this microRNA precursor (87 nucleotides) under Ovis aries (sheep). RNAcentral's name for it is "miRNA (ENSOARG00000023426.1)". Lineage: Eukaryota; Metazoa; Chordata; Mammalia; Artiodactyla; Bovidae. The record is from RNAcentral.
AUGUACUGGGUUGGCCGAAAAGCUUGUUCAAGUUUUCUAUAACGUUUUAUGGAAAAACCCAAAGGAACUUUCAUGACCAACCCAAUA